Molecule: ribosomal RNA, 731 nt
Filed under: Staphylococcus aureus
Lineage: Bacteria; Bacillati; Bacillota; Bacilli; Caryophanales; Staphylococcaceae
Description: bacterial SSU rRNA
Rfam family: Bacterial small subunit ribosomal RNA
Source: RNAcentral
CAUGCGAUCCGAGCGCACGGACGAGAAGCUUGCUUCUCUGAUGUUAGCGGCGGACGGGUGAGUAACACGUGGAUAACCUACCUAUAAGACUGGGAUAACUUCGGGAAACCGGAGCUAAUACCGGAUAAUAUUUUGAACCGCAUGGUUCAAAAGUGAAAGACGGUCUUGCUGUCACUUAUAGAUGGAUCCGCGCUGCAUUAGCUAGUUGGUAAGGUAACGGCUUACCAAGGCAACGAUGCAUAGCCGACCUGAGAGGGUGAUCGGCCACACUGGAACUGAGACACGGUCCAGACUCCUACGGGAGGCAGCAGUAGGGAAUCUUCCGCAAUGGGCGAAAGCCUGACGGAGCAACGCCGCGUGAGUGAUGAAGGUCUUCGGAUCGUAAAACUCUGUUAUUAGGGAAGAACAUAUGUGUAAGUAACUGUGCACAUCUUGACGGUACCUAAUCAGAAAGCCACGGCUAACUACGUGCCAGCAGCCGCGGUAAUACGUAGGUGGCAAGCGUUAUCCGGAAUUAUUGGGCGUAAAGCGCGCGUAGGCGGUUUUUUAAGUCUGAUGUGAAAGCCCACGGCUCAACCGUGGAGGGUCAUUGGAAACUGGAAGGCUUGAGUGCAGAAGAGGAGGGUGGAAUUCCAUGUGUAGCGGGGAAAUACGCAGAGGUGUGGGGCAACCCCGGUGUGGAAGGCGAGUUUCUGGGCAAGAACUAACGCUAAGGGCCCAAAGCGUGGGGA